This 72-nucleotide transfer RNA is filed under the name Camelus bactrianus (Bactrian camel). It matches the Rfam family "tRNA". From Rfam's summary of the family: Transfer RNA (tRNA) molecules are approximately 80 nucleotides in length. Their secondary structure includes four short double-helical elements and three loops (D, anti-codon, and T loops). Further hydrogen bonds mediate the characteristic L-shaped molecular structure. tRNAs have two regions of fundamental functional importance: the anti-codon, which is responsible for specific mRNA codon recognition, and the 3' end, to which the tRNAs corresponding amino acid is attached (by aminoacyl-tRNA synthetases). tRNAs cope with the degeneracy of the genetic code in two manners: having more than one tRNA (with a specific anti-codon) for a particular amino acid; and 'wobble' base-pairing, i.e. permitting non-standard base-pairing at the 3rd anti-codon position. Lineage: Eukaryota; Metazoa; Chordata; Mammalia; Artiodactyla; Camelidae. RNAcentral also lists the same sequence under 2 other names. The record is from Rfam by way of RNAcentral.
GAGUAUAUAGCUCAGUGGUAGAGCACAUGCUUAGUGUGCACAAGGUCCUGGGUUCAAUUCCUAGUACCUCCA